Molecule: ribosomal RNA, 301 nt
Filed under: uncultured bacterium
Lineage: Bacteria
Description: partial 16S ribosomal RNA
Rfam family: Bacterial small subunit ribosomal RNA
Source: RNAcentral
CAGCCGCCGCGGUAAUACGGAGGGUGCGAGCGUUAAUCGGAAUAACUGGGCGUAAAGGGCACGCAGGCGGUGACUUAAGUGAGGUGUGAAAGCCCCGGGCUUAACCUGGGAAUUACGUUUCAUACUAGGUCGCUAGAGUACUUUAGGGAGGGGUAGAAUUCCACGUGUAGCGGUGAAAUGCGUAGAGAUGUGGAGGAAUACCGAAGGCGAAGGCAGCCCCUUGGGAAUGUACUGACGCUCAUGUGCGAAAGCGUGGGGAGCAAACAGGAUUAGAGACCCCCGUAGUCCCUGUCUCUUAUAU